GAACAAGUCCGCGACGCGGACGUGCUCCUCGCAAACUGCCCGACUUUCUCCUUCACGUCUCCAACUCUAAAUCCUCUAACCUCAAAGGUUCCAGCCCCAAUUCACUUAGAAACAUGAAAUCCCUCAAUAUUCAAUAGAUUUCAACUCAACAACACAAUCCAAUCAUGUCCCAAACCAACAAGAACUUCUACACAACCCAACUACAACUUCAACAACAUUAACAACACAACUAACAUCUUUAACAACUCCAACAACUUUAACCACAACAACUAACAACUUUAACAACAUAAACAAUCCUUUCUUAAUAAAUAGAAGGGGCUAGGUGUGUGGGGGAAAGGAUCACCCAACACUAAAAGCUCACAUACCUUGAUAGGGAUCACCCCCGACGAAAAUCCACGAUGAUCUUGUCGGAAACUUGUUGAUCUCCUCUUUCUUCUCUCCUUCUUCUCCUUCUUCUCUUCUUCUUCUCUUCUUCACUCUCAAGAACCCUAACCUUCACUCUCUUAAAAUGGAACAAAAAUGAUCCAAAUAUCAGCCUAACACAAC
This 546-nucleotide long non-coding RNA is filed under the name Solanum tuberosum (potato). RNAcentral's name for it is "long non-coding RNA (STUB_LNC007928)". Lineage: Eukaryota; Viridiplantae; Streptophyta; Magnoliopsida; Solanales; Solanaceae. The record is from RNAcentral.